This 253-nucleotide ribosomal RNA is filed under the name uncultured bacterium. Its description in RNAcentral is "partial 16S ribosomal RNA". It matches the Rfam family "Bacterial small subunit ribosomal RNA", at positions 524 to 776 of the family's 1533-position model. The record is from RNAcentral.
UACGAAGGGGGCAAGCGUUGCUCGGAUUUAUUGGGCGUAAAGGGUGUGUAGGCGGUUUUGUAAGUUAGAUGUGAAAUCCCGAGGCUUAACCUCGGAACUGCAUUUAAGACUGCAGAACUUGAAGUUCGAAGAGGUAAGCAGAAUUCCCAGUGUAGAGGUGAAAUUCGUAGAUAUUGGGAAGAACACCAGUGGCGAAGGCGACUCACUGGACAUGUAUUGACGCUGAGGUGCGAAAGCGUGGGGAGCAAACAGG